This is a small nucleolar RNA of Otolemur garnettii (small-eared galago), 137 nucleotides long. NCBI's taxonomy places the organism in Eukaryota, Metazoa, Chordata, Mammalia, Primates, Galagidae. The record is from Ensembl.
UUGGCCCUGAAUCAAGGCCAGCAGUUCGCUGAAGCUGUUGGUUUCAAGCAGGAGCCUAAAGAAUUACCUUUCUAUGGUCUGUUGGCCAUUUCAGAACUUUGGAAAUGUAAUGGUCAAUUCAUUAGAAGGAAACCGUA